This is a small nuclear RNA of Peromyscus leucopus (white-footed mouse), 103 nucleotides long. NCBI's taxonomy places the organism in Eukaryota, Metazoa, Chordata, Mammalia, Rodentia, Cricetidae. The record is from RefSeq and is a predicted model, not a curated record.
ACCUUACUGUCAGGCACACAGUAAGAUUGAAAUGACACAGAGAAGAUUAGCAUGGCUUCUGUGCAAUGAUGACACACAAAUCUAUGAACUGUUCCACACUUAA